RNAcentral lists this ribosomal RNA (450 nucleotides) under uncultured Glomeromycotina. RNAcentral's name for it is "SSU rRNA". It matches the Rfam family "Eukaryotic small subunit ribosomal RNA", at positions 569 to 1023 of the family's 1831-position model. The record is from RNAcentral. Lineage: Eukaryota; Fungi; Glomeromycota.
AGCAGCCGCGGUAAUUCCAGCUCCAAUAGCGUAUAUUAAAGUUGUUGCAGUUAAAAAGCUCGUAGUUGAAUUUCGGGGUCAGUAGAUUGGUCGUGCCACUGGUAUGUACUGGUCUUACUGGCUCCUCCUUCCUGAUGAACCGUAAUGCCAUUAAUUUGGUGUUGCGGGGAGACUGGACUGUUACUUUGAAAAAAUUAGAGUGUUUAAAGCAGGCUAACGCUUGAAUACAUUAGCAUGGAAUAAUGAAAUAGGACGUUCGAUCUUAUUUUGUUGGUUUCUAGGAUUGACGUAAUGAUUAAUAGGGAUAGUUGGGGGCAUUAGUAUUCAAUUGUCAGAGGUGAAAUUCUUGGAUUUAUUGAAGACUAACUACUGCGAAAGCAUUUGCCAAGGAUGCUUUCAUUAAUCAAGAACGAAAGUUAGGGGAUCGAAGACGAUCAGAUACCGUCGUAG